CCGGGCACAAGCGGUCGAGCAUGUGGUUUAAUUCGAAGCAACGCGAAGAACCUCACAAAGCCUUCAAAACAUAGCACAACCCUAAAGAUAGGGCUUUCCCCUUCGGGGGACAGAGUGACAGGUGGUGCAUGGUUGUCGUCAGCUCGUGUCGUGAGAUGUUGGGUUAAGUCCCGCAACGAGCGCAACCCUUGAUCUUAGUUGCCAGCAUUCAGUUGGGCACUCUAAGAUGACUGCCGGUGACAAACCGGAGGAAGGUGGGGAUGACGUCAAAUCAUCAUGCCCCUUAUGACCUGGGCUACACACGUGCUACAAUGGACGGUACAAAGGGCAGCGAGACCGCGAGGUUUAGCCAAUCCCAUAAAACCGUUCUCAGUUCGGAUUGCAGGCUGCAACUCGCAUCCAUGAAGCGCCAAUCGCUAGUAAUCGCGGAUCAGCAUGCCGCGGUGAAUACGUUCCCGGGCA
This 462-nucleotide ribosomal RNA is filed under the name Rossellomorea aquimaris. RNAcentral describes it as "bacterial SSU rRNA". It matches the Rfam family "Bacterial small subunit ribosomal RNA", at positions 921 to 1379 of the family's 1533-position model. The record is from RNAcentral. Lineage: Bacteria; Bacillati; Bacillota; Bacilli; Caryophanales; Bacillaceae.